GAUGAACGCUGGCGGCGUGCCUAACACAUGCAAGUCGAGCGAAAGGACCAGAAGUUUGCUUCCCUGAUGUUAGCGGCGGAGGGGAGAGUCACAUGUGGAUAACCUACCUAUAAGACUGGGAUAAUUUCGGGAAAUGGGAGCUUCUACCCGAUAAUUUUUUGCACCUAGUUGUUCAAAAGUGAAAGUCGGUCUUGCUGUCGGUUAUAGAUGGAUCCGGGCUGCAUUAGUUAGUUGGGAAGGUAACGGCUUAGCAAGGCUGCGAGGGAUAGCCGACCUGAGCGGGUGAUCGGCCACCCGGGAAGGGAGACACGGUCCAGACUCCUACGGGAGGCAGCAGUAGGGAAUCUUCCGCAAGGGGGGAGAGCCUGACGGAGCAACGCCGCGGGAGUGAUGAAGGUGUUCGGAUCGGAAAGCUCUGAUAUUAGUGGAGAACAAAUGUGUAAUUAACUGAGCAGAUCGUGACGGUACCGGGUCAAAAAGCCACGGCUAACUACGUG
Molecule: ribosomal RNA, 497 nt
Filed under: uncultured bacterium
Lineage: Bacteria
Description: partial 16S ribosomal RNA
Rfam family: Bacterial small subunit ribosomal RNA
Source: RNAcentral